CUGAGCCGUAAGCGCUGAAAGGUGCACGUACGGUUCUUAGGGGGGGAUCAGCCAGUAAUGGCUGGUUCCCACCCGAC
RNAcentral lists this non-coding RNA (77 nucleotides) under Pseudomonas aeruginosa. Lineage: Bacteria; Pseudomonadati; Pseudomonadota; Gammaproteobacteria; Pseudomonadales; Pseudomonadaceae. The record is from RNAcentral.